AUUAAGGCAUUAGUUUCUCUGAGAAGACAGAUCUGAAGAAAAUUCAAGAAAAUGAGAAAAUAGAUAUAAAUAAGAUGGAGCUUGGGAGGCAAGGGAGGAAGGCUGCUCUUUCCGAAUAUUCGUGCAUCGACCUUUUCGGCUGCAAGCCCCAGGUGGAGUUGAAUACAAUGCCCACAUUUGUGGUUAGCUACAAGCAAUAUGUUAUGAAGAUGGUGGUAUUCAGACACGUACCCAACCAAUUUAAUUCAGAUAAAUUGGAUACAAGGCUUUGACCAGCAUGAGAAGAGCAGGACGUUGCUUAGCUGUGACCAGGUCUUCCCCGCUCAGCUGUGGGCUGCGUGUUGUGAUGAAAAGCACCCGUCAUCGGAAGGGAAACCUGCCCUCUGCUAUUCACAGGCAGCAUCACAGGCUGCUGGAGGAGCUCAGCAGGAGAAGAGCCAGCACUGCACCAACAAUGUGGUUUGAGCAGAGGUUGGUGGUGGUCCAGCUCAUUGGAACUUUUGUGCUCGAACCAGGGGGAUGCUAUAGAUGGAGCUAAUCUGGUUCUUCAAUCCCACCGAAGAGCACAGAGCUGAUCUCUAAGUCUGCUAUCUGCUCCUGCUAUGUCCUGAUGAAUGUUUGGUCCAGUACCAGACAGGAUGCAAAGCUGAACACCCAUAGCCAUCACUCUCCUGCUCUUCACAGUAGAUGUUGCUACCCUACAAUUAUCAAGAUUAAUAUGGUGUUGGAGAAUAUGACUGGAUUCUGCCCACACCACCAUGGCAUGCUGAUAAAGCAAUGAUAGCCUACAAAAGGAAAUAAUUCUCCACCUUUUUUUUUUUUGAUCAAGUGCCAUGGGAAUAGGACCUACCCAGUGGAGAUUUCAGUGUGGCAGAAGGAUGGGAAGCAUGGAGAUUUCUGAGAUGGUUUGGAUGCUGCUUCUACCAAGUAGAAGUGAUGUUAAACUGAAAUUGUUCAUCAAACUGUCACCUCAUACGGAUUAUUCUAUUGGAAAGUCAAGAAAACCACCACUGAUUUUAUUUUUUUUCCCCAAAAAUAUAAAACAGAUAUCUUGUGUAAGAGGAGACAAUGUUCAAACACCCAAGCUCAAGAAGGGGCUAAAAGGAAAAGCCUGAGGUUAGAGCAGAGAGAAACUGUCAAAAGUUUUAAAAGAAAUUUUAUGAAGCCAUAUUUGUAUGCAAAAUCUAUGAUCACUUUGAAAUCAAAAAAGCUACUGUUAGGUUAUUUGCACAAAGUAGCUUUAUAGUCAGAAAACCCCUCAUCACUUCUAUCCCACUUUAAAAAAUACAUUCUAUACCAUUCUGAAAUCCCAAAAGACAAUAAAAAUCACUUGGAUUUAUGAUGCUUGGGUGUAAAGGAAUUAGAUGCAAGUAGCUGGGUUUUCACAGAAAUAUUAUUCUGGAACAUUUGAAUAACACAACUUUUGGACCAGGUGCUUGGGUUGUGUGUGUGAUGUGAGCACGUGAGCACUAUGAGGUGGACUUGUGAUGUCACUGCAUUUCCUGUUCAUCACUUAGCACAGCUGAACAUCAUGGCCCCUGUAAAGCCAAACAAGAGGUUGUCAGUGACUUCAGUGGAGCCAGAAUUUCAUCCCAGGCCAGGAGCUACUGAUGGAGAGUUCCACCGGCUGGUGACUUGGAGCAACUUCAAGUCAGUGAAGCUGAAGGGAAAAAAUUCCUUGUCACAUAACUGAUCUCUUUGGCAACCCAGGGUACCCAAAUUUCACUGGAUUUUCUACCAAGUUUCCAUUCAUGUUGCAACUAUGUAGAUAAUAUGUUAAGGCAUCAUUCUUAAAAAAGUAAGGAAUUAAUUUCUCUAAGAGAUGGGUGAUUUGUAGAAGACAUUUGUGUAUUUUUGCAUGCUAAAUGUGCUUUAUAUUUACAAAUAAAUUUGCAUAAAAUCUCCA
This 1906-nucleotide long non-coding RNA is filed under the name Strigops habroptila (Kakapo). Its description in RNAcentral is "lncRNA (ENSSHBG00005000628.1)". The record is from RNAcentral. Lineage: Eukaryota; Metazoa; Chordata; Aves; Psittaciformes; Psittacidae.